Molecule: transfer RNA, 70 nt
Filed under: Anolis sagrei (brown anole)
Lineage: Eukaryota; Metazoa; Chordata; Lepidosauria; Squamata; Anolidae
Description: tRNA-Ala
Source: RNAcentral
UAAGACUUGUGAAAGUCUAAUUCACAUCUCAUGAAUGCAACUCAAGCACUUUUAUUAAGCUAAAGCCUUU